This 253-nucleotide ribosomal RNA is filed under the name uncultured bacterium. RNAcentral describes it as "partial 16S ribosomal RNA". It matches the Rfam family "Bacterial small subunit ribosomal RNA", at positions 524 to 776 of the family's 1533-position model. The record is from RNAcentral.
UACGUAGGGUGCGAGCGUUGUCCGGAAUUACUGGGCGUAAAGAGCUCGUAGGCGGCUUGUCGCGUCGACUGUGAAAACCCGCGGCUCAACUGCGGGCUUGCAGUCGAUACGGGCAGGCUAGAGUUCGGUAGGGGAGACUGGAAUUCCUGGUGUAGCGGUGAAAUGCGCAGAUAUCAGGAGGAACACCAGUGGCGAAGGCGGUGCUCUGGGCCGGAACUGACGCUGAGGAGCGAAAGCGUGGGGAGCAAACAGG